GCGGAGGAAAAGAAACCAACAGGGAUUGCCCUAGUAAUGGCGAAUGAAGCGGCAACAGCUCAAAUUUGAAAUCUGGCCCUCCUUCUUGGGGGGUCCGAGUUGUAAUUUGCAGAGGGUGCUUUGGCGUUGGUGGCGGUCUAAGUUCCUUGGAACAGGCCAUCGCAGAGGGUGAGAAUCCCGUAUGUGGUCGCCCGCCUUCGCCAUGUAAAGCCCCCUCGACGAGUCGCGUUGUUUGGGAAUGCAGCGCAAAAUGGGAGGUAAAUUUCUUCUAAAGCUAAAUACUGGCCAGAGACCGAUAGCGCACAAGUAGAGUGAUCGAAAGAUGAAAAGCACUUUGGAAAGAGAGUCAAAUAGCACGUGAAAUUGUUGAAAGGGAAGCGCUUGCAGCCAGACGUGCCUGCGGUUGCUCAGCUGGGCUCCCCCCUAAACCAGGGGCGCCCGGUGCACUCUUCCGCAGGCAGGCCAGCAUCAGUUUGGGCGACUGGUAGAAAGACCUCUGUCACGUAUCUUCCUCCGGGAUGACCUUAUAGGGGAGGUGUAAUGCAGCCAGCCUGGACUGAGGGACCGCGCUUCGGCGAGGAUGCUGGCGUAAUGGCUGUAAGCGGCCCGUCUUGAAACACGGACCAAGGAGUCUAACAUCUAUGCGAGUGUUUGGGUGUCAAAGCCCAGGCGCGCAAUGAAAGUAAACGGAGGUGGGAACCCUUCCUCGCGGGGGGGGGCGCACCAUCGACCGAUCCUGAUGUCUUCGGAUGGAUUUGAGUAAGAGCAUAGCUGUUGGGACCCGAAAGAUGGUGAACUAUGCUUGAAUAGGGUGAAGCCAGAGGAAACUCUGGUGGAGGCUCGCAGCGGUUCUGACGUGCAAAUCGAUCGUCAAAUUUGGGCAUAGGGGCGAAAGACUAAUCGAACUAUCUAGUAGCUGGUCCUGC
Molecule: small RNA, 926 nt
Filed under: Trematosphaeria sp. 1 NV-2015
Lineage: Eukaryota; Fungi; Ascomycota; Dothideomycetes; Pleosporales; Trematosphaeriaceae
Description: eukaryotic LSU rRNA
Rfam family: Eukaryotic large subunit ribosomal RNA
Source: RNAcentral